CGAACGCUGGCGGCGCGUUUUAAGCAUGCAAGUCGAACGGUAGUAGAGUGCUUGCACUCUAUGAGAGUGGCGAACGGGUGAGUAACACGUAGGUGAUCUAUCUUUGGGGUUCGGGAUAGCCUGUGGAAACACAGGGUAAUACCGGAUACGACCUUUAGAUUGCGGUCUAGAGGGGAAAGGCGCUUAGGCGCCGCCCUAAGCUGAGCCUGCGGCUGAUUAGCUAGUUGGUAGGGUAACGGCCUACCAAGGCGACGAUGAGUAGCCGGCCUGAGAGGGUGAUCGGCCACACUGGGACUGAGACACGGCCCAGACUCCUACGGGAGGCAGCAGCUAAGAAUCUUCCGCAAUGGGGGAAACCCUGACGGAGCGACGCCGCGUGGACGAAGAAUGCCGGAAGGUUGUAAAGUCCUUUUCCUGGGGGAGAAUAAUGCUUGGAGGUAAUGCCAAGCAGAUGACGUGAACCAGGGAAUAAGCCCCGGCUAAUUAC
Molecule: ribosomal RNA, 487 nt
Filed under: uncultured bacterium
Lineage: Bacteria
Description: bacterial SSU rRNA
Rfam family: Bacterial small subunit ribosomal RNA
Source: RNAcentral